CCUGGGAACUGCGUUNUGAACUGGGUAGCUAGAGUAUGUCAGAGGGGGGUAGAAUUCCACGUGUAGCAGUGAAAUGCGUAGAGAUGUGGAGGAAUACCGAUGGCGAAGGCAGCCCCCUGGGAUAAUACUGACGUUCAUGCUCGAAAGCGUGGGUAGCAAACAGGAUUAGAUACCCUGGUAGUCCACGCCCUAAACGAUGUCGAUUAGCUGUUGGGCAACUUGAUUGCUUAGUAGCGUAGCUAACGCGUGAAAUCGACCGCCUGGGGAGUACGGUCGCAAGAUUAAAACUCAAAGGAAUUGACGGGGACCCGCACAAGCGGUGGAUGAUGUGGAUUAAUUCGAUGCAACGCGAAGAACCUUACCUGGUCUUGACAUGUACGGAAGAACUCAGAGACGAGUUUGUGCCUUCGGGAGCCGUAACACAGGUGCUGCAUGGCUGUCGUCAGCUCGUGUCGUGAGAUGUUGGGUUAAGUCCCGCAACGAGCGCAACCCUUGUCAUUAGUUGCCAUCAUUUAGUUGGGCACUCUAAUGAGGCUGCUGGUGACAAACCGGAGGAAGGUGGGGAUGACGUCAAGUCCUCAUGGCCCUUAUGACCAGGGCUUCACACGUCAUACAAUGGUCGGUACAGAGGGUAGCCAAGCCGCGAGGUGGAGCCAAUCCCAGAAAACCGAUCGUAGUCCGGAUUGCACUCUGCAACUCGAGUGCAUGAAGUCGGAAUCGCUAGUAAUCGCAGGUCAGCAUACUGCGGUGAAUACGUUCCCGGGUCUUGUACACACCGCCCGUCACACCAUGGGAGUGGGGGAUACCAGAAGUAGGUAGGGUAACCGCAAGGAGCCCGC
Molecule: ribosomal RNA, 839 nt
Filed under: uncultured bacterium
Lineage: Bacteria
Description: bacterial SSU rRNA
Rfam family: Bacterial small subunit ribosomal RNA
Source: RNAcentral